Molecule: ribosomal RNA, 409 nt
Filed under: uncultured Nitrososphaerota archaeon
Lineage: Archaea; Thermoproteati; Nitrososphaerota
Description: bacterial SSU rRNA
Rfam family: Archaeal small subunit ribosomal RNA
Source: RNAcentral
CUGGUGUCAGCCGCCGCGGUAAUACCAGCACCCCGAGUGGUCGGGACGAUUAUUGGGCCUAAAGCAUCCGUAGCCGGUCCUACAAGUCUUCCGUUAAAUCCACCUGCUUAACAGAUGGGCUGCGGAAGAUACUAUAGGGCUAGGAGGCGGGAGAGGCAAGCGGUACUCAGUGGGUAGAGGUAAAAUCCUCUGAUCCAUUGAAGACCACCAGUGGCGAAGGCGGCUUGCCAGAACGCGCUCGACGGUGAGGGAUGAAAGCUGGGGGAGCAAACCGGAUUAGAUACCCGGGUAGUCCCAGCUGUAAACGAUGCAGACUCGGUGAUGGGUUGGCCUUGUGCCAACCCAGUGCCGCAGGGAAGCCGUUAAGUCUGCCGCCUGGGGAGUACGGUCGCAAGACUGAAACUUAAAG